UGGGGAAUAUUGGACAAUGGGCGCAAGCCUGAUCCAGCCAUGCCGCGUGAGUGAUGACGGCCUUAGGGUUGUAAAGCUCUUUCGCACGCGACGAUAAUGACGGUAGCGUGAGAAGAAGCCCCGGCUAACUUCGUGCCAGCAGCCGCGGUAAUACGAAGGGGGCUAGCGUUGUUCGGAAUCACUGGGCGUAAAGGGUGCGUAGGCGGGAUCUUAAGUCAGGGGUGAAAUCCCGAGGCUCAACCUCGGAACUGCCUUUGAUACUGGGGUCCUUGAGUCCGGAAGAGGUGAGUGGAACUGCGAGUGUAGAGGUGAAAUUCGUAGAUAUUCGCAAGAACACCGGUGGCGAAGGCGGCUCACUGGUCCGGAACUGACGCUGAGGCACGACAGCGUGGGGAGCAAACAGG
This 404-nucleotide ribosomal RNA is filed under the name uncultured Alphaproteobacteria bacterium. RNAcentral's name for it is "bacterial SSU rRNA". It matches the Rfam family "Bacterial small subunit ribosomal RNA", at positions 355 to 776 of the family's 1533-position model. RNAcentral also lists the same sequence under 2 other names. Lineage: Bacteria; Pseudomonadati; Pseudomonadota; Alphaproteobacteria. The record is from RNAcentral.